RNAcentral lists this ribosomal RNA (402 nucleotides) under uncultured bacterium. Its description in RNAcentral is "bacterial SSU rRNA". It matches the Rfam family "Bacterial small subunit ribosomal RNA", at positions 29 to 414 of the family's 1533-position model. The record is from RNAcentral.
AACGAACGCUGGCGGCGUGCCUAACACAUGCAAGUCGUGCGAGAAAGUUUCCUUCGGGGAGCGAGUAAAGCGGCGCACGGGUGAGUAACACGUAGGUAACCUACCUUUCAGUCCGGAAUAACCAGCUGAAAAGCUGGCUAAUGCCGGGUAAGACCACGAUCUCUGCGGGGAUCGCGGCCAAAGGCGGCCUCUUCAUGAAAGCUGAUGCUGAGAGAUGGGCCUGCGUACCAUAGCUAGUUGGUGAGGUAACGGCUCACCAAGGCGACGAUCCGUAGCUGGUCUGAGAGGAUGAUCAGCCACACUGGAACUGAGACACGGUCCAGACUCCUACGGGAGGCAGCAGUGGGGAAUUUUGGACAAUGGGGCAACCCUGAUCCAGCCAUUCCGCGUGAGUGAAGAAGG